This 483-nucleotide ribosomal RNA is filed under the name uncultured bacterium. RNAcentral's name for it is "partial 16S ribosomal RNA". It matches the Rfam family "Bacterial small subunit ribosomal RNA", at positions 28 to 523 of the family's 1533-position model. The record is from RNAcentral.
GACGAACGCUGGCGGCGUGCUUAACACAUGCAAGUCGAACGAUGAAGCUGGAGCUUGCUCCGGUGGAUUAGUGGCGAACGGGUGAGUAACACGUGAGCAAUCUGCCCUUCACUCUGGGAUAACUGCGGGAAACUGUAGCUAAUACCGGAUACGAGACCUUGGGGCAUCCCAGGGUCUGGAAAGAAUUUCGGUGAAGGAUGAGCUCGCGGCCUAUCAGCUAGUUGGUGAGGUAAUGGCUCACCAAGGCGACGACGGGUAGCCGGCCUGAGGGGGUGACCGGCCACGCUGGGACUGAGACACGGCCCAGACUCCUACGGGAGGCAGCAGUGGGGAAUAUUGCACAAUGGGCGAAAGCCUGAUGCAGCAACGCCGCGUGAGGGAUGAAGGCCUUCGGUUUGUAAACCUCUUUUAGUAGGGAAGAAGCGCAAGUGACGGUACCUACAGAAAAAGCACCGGCUAACUACGUGCCAGCAGCCGCCGUAA